This 91-nucleotide small nuclear RNA is filed under the name Cavia porcellus (domestic guinea pig). RNAcentral describes it as "7SK RNA". It matches the Rfam family "7SK RNA", at positions 8 to 99 of the family's 331-position model. Rfam says of the family: 7SK was discovered as an abundant small nuclear RNA in the mid-70s but a possible function has only recently been suggested. Two independent studies have found that 7SK RNA binds the CDK9/cyclin T complex (known as elongation factor P-TEFb). Lineage: Eukaryota; Metazoa; Chordata; Mammalia; Rodentia; Caviidae. The record is from Rfam by way of RNAcentral.
AGGGCAAUCUGGCUGUAAUAUCUGUUACUGUGUUGAUCACCUGGGUUGAUUCAGCUGAUCUAGCUGGCCUGGCUGGUGUCCCCUCUUCCCU